This 74-nucleotide transfer RNA is filed under the name Parcubacteria group bacterium. Its description in RNAcentral is "tRNA-Gly". It matches the Rfam family "tRNA". Rfam says of the family: Transfer RNA (tRNA) molecules are approximately 80 nucleotides in length. Their secondary structure includes four short double-helical elements and three loops (D, anti-codon, and T loops). The record is from RNAcentral. RNAcentral also lists the same sequence under 1 other name.
GCGGGUAUAGUUUAGUGGUAGAACGCGACCUUGCCAUGGUUGAGACGGGAGUUCGAUUCUCCCUACCCGCACCA